GUACAAGGUCUCCGUUGGUGAACCAGCGGAGGGAUCAUUA
RNAcentral lists this ribosomal RNA (40 nucleotides) under Fusarium solani. Its description in RNAcentral is "partial 18S ribosomal RNA". RNAcentral also lists the same sequence under 3 other names. Lineage: Eukaryota; Fungi; Ascomycota; Sordariomycetes; Hypocreales; Nectriaceae. The record is from RNAcentral.